Molecule: transfer RNA, 73 nt
Filed under: Bos indicus x Bos taurus (hybrid cattle)
Lineage: Eukaryota; Metazoa; Chordata; Mammalia; Artiodactyla; Bovidae
Rfam family: tRNA
About the family: Transfer RNA (tRNA) molecules are approximately 80 nucleotides in length.
Source: Rfam by way of RNAcentral
UCCCUGGUAGUCUGGUGGCUAAGAAUCCACACUCCCAAUGCAGGGGGCCCAGGUUCAAUUCCUGAUCAGGGAA